UGUAGAUAUACAGUAGAGAGAGAGAGAAGACGCAAUGAUGAGAUCACAGAGAUCUUUAAUCCUCUUUCUGACCAAACACUGCCAACCUUACCACUGCCAUCAUAAACUCCCCCUAUACUAUACCCAUAGGAGAAUACCAAUUAAACUGUAUAUUUCACUCAUCUUCCCCCUAUAAUUCCCCCCAAUUUUUCUCUUUCUCUCUCUAGAAUUUGGGAUUUGGUCUUUUUGUUGUUGGGUUUGCCUGCUCUGCUGGCUAUUGUUAACCCCUAUGACCAGUUUUGGUAAUUAGGUCAAGUGAGUCAGUCCACAUAAUAGGGCUGAAGAAGCAAGUGCACAAUUAAGAGGCACAAAUACCAAAAGUAGAGAGAGAGAGAGAGAGAGAGAGAGAGAGAGAGAGAGAUGGGUUAGGCAGGCAAGGGAGCUGGUUUAGCCUCUCUCUUUUAGUCUGGUUUGGGUUUAAUUACGGGAGGACCCUUUUGGAAAAAAUUGGUGGUGGUGGUGGGGUUGUUUGUGAUAUGGAACUGAAAACAUUGAAUGGCAGAACCUUUUGGGAGAACCAGAAGCAGAAGAAGCAGAACCAGGAAAAGCAGAAGCAGCUUCAGGGCUCAGAGGGGAGGUGGCAGCACAAGCAUCAGGAGGUCACACCAGCAAAGAAAAACCACUAGCAAAAAAAAAAGUCUAUUUGCAAAAGUACUUGUUUGUAGAAGCAGAAGCACUUGUACUGUUCCAUUAAAAACUGGAAGAGGAAAAUCACAAGGGUCUGACUCUGGAUCCUCAAAGGAUUCACCACCACCAUUAUCUCCACCAAAACCCAAUUCUCAAUUUUAACCAUCUUGUCCAAGAAGAAGAAGAAGAAGAAACCCAGCAACAAACCCAGCAGAAUCACCACCAAGCUUUCAACUUUCCGUAUCUUCACCAAGACCCACAUACCCAGCAGCAUUUCUUUGGAGAAACCCGGCAGUUGCAGCUGCAAGAACAGCAGCAAACCCAGCAGAGAGCUCCAAAGAAACGCAGCUUCACUUCUUCUUCUUCUUCAACUUUGGUGGAACAGAGCAUCGAAUAUGCAAGAUCAAAAAUGGGAGAUUCCCACCACCACCACCUCAACAACCACCAAGCAACCACGUCGUCUCGCCUGGGGAUAAGGCCGCCGUCAUCCGGCGGAGGAGUCAGCACCGACAUCGUGGAGGUGGUACGAGGCAGCCACAUUGUCCGGGCGACGGGCCGGAAAGACAGGCACAGCAAGGUUUGCACGGCAAAAGGCCCGAGGGACCGCCGCGUCCGGCUCGCCGCUCACACCGCCAUUCAGUUCUACGACGUCCAGGACCGGCUUGGGUAUGACCGACCCAGCAAGGCCGUCGAUUGGCUAAUCAAGAAGGCCAAGGCCGCCAUAGACGAGCUCGAGGAGCUUCCCUCAUGGAACCCACAUUCGAUUUCGACCACCGCGGCUGUUCCAGCCAUGGAGACCCAGAACCCGUCCGCCACCGGCAUCCACUGCUUCGCGGCAGUGGACGCAAUUGGGUCUGCUAAUCGAAGAACAAUGGUGGGGAGUGGAGUUUCGGAGCAGCAAUUUGCUCAGAGCCCAAAUAGCAACUCGACUUUCCUCCCACCGUCGCUCGACUCGGACGCCAUUGCAGACACCAUCAAGUCCUUUUUCCCAAUGGGUGCUUCCGCGGCAGCAGCUGCCGCCGAGUCUCCAUCGUCGACGAUACAGUUCCAUCAGAACUACCCACCUGAUUUGCUCUCUAAAGCCAGCAGCCAGAGCCAAGAUCUGCGCCUCUCCCUGCAGUCCUUCCAAGACCCAAUUCUCCUCCACCACCACGACGCCCAAAAUCAGCACCACCACGCUCAGACCCAUCAAAACGAGCAAACCCUUUUCUCCGGAUCCCAAAACCAGCUCGGGUUUGAUGGGUCCCCCGGCUCGUGGGCAGAGCAUCACCACAACCAACAACAGCAAGAGAUGAACAGAUUCCAGAGAAUGGUGGCUUGGGACAGCGGUGGUAACGGCGGACCAUCGUCGGCAGGCGGGUUUAUAUUCAAUUCGCUGCUACCAACACAGCAGGGUAGUACUAGUCCUUUGCAACAGCAGCAGCCGUCGUUGUUCGGCCAAAGUCAGUUCUUUUCUCAGAGGGGACCCCUUCAGUCCAGUAACUCGCCGUCAGUUCGUGCUUGGAUGGUGGACCAGCAAAACCAACAAUCCAUUUCUCACGACCAUCAUCAUCAAAUCUCGCAAUCCAUUCAUCACCAACAGUCCAUUUCCGGCAUGGGAUUCGCCUCCGGAGGCGGAUUCUCCGGGUUCCACAUCCCGGCACGAAUUCACGGCGAGGAGGAGCACGACGGUACUUCCGACAAGCCGUCCUCUGCUUCCUCCAAUUCUCGCCAUUGAACCAAAGAAAUGGACUGAACUUCUCUUCAAAAGGGCUCAAGCUCUCAUCUCAUCUCUGCCUUCCACAGAGAGAUUACAAGAGCUACCUGUUGGUUUCCAAUUCAUAUAUGGCCAGGAGACGAUUUUUCGGUCGCUUUGUUCAAUGGCGUGCGCCUUGGGAAGAAGAAAUCUGAGUGCAUUUUCGGGUUUUUAUCGAUCCCUCGGUUCGUUUUAGCUUUUAUUUCAUCAGUUUGUUGCUUCUUGUUUUAGAAGUUCUGUUUUCACGUUUGAGAUGAGCUCUCAAAGCUCAAACUUUUUGCUUGUUCUAUGUUGGAUUUGUGUUUCUGUUGCUAGACUAGCAGUAUGUUGCUAAAUUUGACUUGUUUCAUUCCUAGAGUUAAAUGCAAUUCUGUGUUUUGAUACAUUA
Malus domestica (apple) is the source of this 2789-nucleotide RNA transcript. It is a transcript of the gene named transcription factor TCP4-like, with no coding region annotated. NCBI's taxonomy places the organism in Eukaryota, Viridiplantae, Streptophyta, Magnoliopsida, Rosales, Rosaceae. The record is from RefSeq and is a predicted model, not a curated record.